Molecule: long non-coding RNA, 472 nt
Filed under: Sorghum bicolor (sorghum)
Lineage: Eukaryota; Viridiplantae; Streptophyta; Magnoliopsida; Poales; Poaceae
Description: long non-coding RNA (SBIC_LNC011114)
Source: RNAcentral
AUGUCCGUAGAUGGACCUCGGGAGCAGUGCUUUGGCAAGGAAAUAAUUUUUAUUCAACUCUCCACACUAUUAUUGCACACCAUCGGUAGAUUUUUUUAUUUUUUUAUUCAUCUUCAGCUAGUGGACGACAACGAAGUGACAAUUGAUGGCAGGCUGGGUUCGGAUUAGGCCUUGUUUAGGUGGGAGAUUGUGUCGGAAAGAUGUCGGUAUAAGUUUUUAGAAACUAAUAAAAAAAUAAAUUAUAUAACUUGUCUGAAAACGGCAAGACAAAUCCAUUAAGCAUAAUUAAUGUAUCAUUAGCACAUGUGGGUUACUGUAGUACUUAAGACUAAUUAUGGACUAACUAGGCUUAAAAGAUUCGUCUCGUGUUUUUCAACCAAACUGUGUAAUUAGUUUAUUUUUUUAUCUACAUUUAAUGUUCCAUGCAUGUGUCCAAAUAUUCGAUGGGAUGGAUGGAAUUUUUUUGGGUGGG